Molecule: ribosomal RNA, 446 nt
Filed under: uncultured bacterium
Lineage: Bacteria
Description: partial 16S ribosomal RNA
Rfam family: Bacterial small subunit ribosomal RNA
Source: RNAcentral
CCUACGGGUGGCAGCAGUCGAGAAUCAUUCACAAUGGGGGAAACCCUGGUGGUGCGACGCCGCGUGGGGGAAUGAAGGUCUUCGGAUUGUAAACCCCUGUCAUGUGGGAGCAAAUUAAAAAGAUAGUACCACAAGAGGAAGAGACGGCUAACUCUGUGCCAGCAGCCGCGGUAAUACAGAGGUCUCAAGCGUUGUUCGGAAUCACUGGGCGUAAAGCGUGCGUAGGCUGUUUCGUAAGUCGUGUGUGAAAGGCGCGGGCUCAACCCGCGGACGGCACAUGAUACUGCGAGACUAGAGUAAUGGAGGGGGAACCGGAAUUCUCGGUGUAGCAGUGAAAUGCGUAGAUAUCGAGAGGAACACUCGUGGCGAAGGCGGGUUCCUGGACAGUAACUGACGCUGAGGCACGAAGGCCAGGGGAGCGAAAGGGAUUAGAUACCCUAGUAGUC